This 461-nucleotide ribosomal RNA is filed under the name uncultured bacterium. RNAcentral describes it as "partial 16S ribosomal RNA". It matches the Rfam family "Bacterial small subunit ribosomal RNA", at positions 338 to 795 of the family's 1533-position model. The record is from RNAcentral.
CCUACGGGAGGCAGCAGUGGGGGAAUAUUGGUCAAUGGGCGCGAGCCUGAACCAGCCAAGUCGCGUGAGGGAUGAAGGUUCUAUGGAUCGUAAACCUCUUUUAUAAGGGAAUAAAGUGUGGGACGUGUCCUAUUUUGUAUGUACCUUAUGAAUAAGGAUCGGCUAACUCCGUGCCAGCAGCCGCGGUAAUACGGAGGAUCCGAGCGUUAUCCGGAUUUAUUGGGUUUAAAGGGUGCGUAGGCGGCCUUUUAAGUCAGCGGUGAAAGUCUGUGGCUCAACCAUAGAAUGGCCUUGGAAACUGGGGGGCUUGAGUAUGUUUGAGGCAGGCGGAAUGCGUGGUGUAGCGGUGAAAUGCUUAGAGAUCACGCAGAACCCCGAUUGCGAAGGCAGCCUGCCAAGCCAUGACUGACGCUGAUGCACGAAAGCGUGGGGAUCAAACAGGAUUAGAUACCCCAGUAGUC